This 865-nucleotide non-coding RNA is filed under the name Hyloscirtus hillisi. RNAcentral describes it as "Hyloscirtus sp. n. SR-2018 partial small subunit ribosomal RNA". It matches the Rfam family "Bacterial small subunit ribosomal RNA". The record is from RNAcentral. Lineage: Eukaryota; Metazoa; Chordata; Amphibia; Anura; Hylidae.
ACUCAAUUACUACUUAAUGUAUACAUGCAAGUCUCUUCACCCCUGUGAGAACGCCCUUAAACCCCUGAUAGGGGCAAGGAGCUGGUAUCAGGCACAAUAAUUAGCCCAAAACACCUAGCUACGCCACACCCCCAAGGGAACUCAGCAGUAAUCAAUAUUGAACAUAAGCGCCAGCUUGAUUCAGUUAAAGUAAAAAGGGCCGGCAAAUCUGGUGCCAGCCGCCGCGGUUACACCAUAUGACCCAAAUUGACCUCAACACGGCGUAAAGCGUGAUUAAAGUUCUCUCACAUUGUAGCUAAACCACUAAUGAGCUGUGACACGCCUUUAGCUAGGAAGCCCAAAAACGAAAGUUGCUACAUAUAAACCAACUUGAACUCACAACAGCUAGGACACAAACUAGGAUUAGAUACCCUACUAUGCCUAUCUAUAAACUCUUAACUUACACUUAAUAUCGCCUGGGAACUACGAGCAAAGCUUAAAACCCAAAGGACUUGACGGUACCCCAAAUCCCCCUAGAGGAGCCUGUCCUUUAAUCGAUAAUCCCCGUUCAACCUCGCCAUUUUUAGCCAAUCAGUCUGUAUACCUCCGUCGUCAGCUUACCACGUGAGCGUCUCAAAGUAAGCCCAAUGUUCAUACACAUCAAUACGUCAGGUCAAGGUGCAACUAAUAAAAUGGGAAGAGAUGGGCUACACUCUCUAAGAUAGAACACACGAAAAACUAACUGAAAACUAGUUUAAAGGCGGAUUUAGAAGUAAAAAAGAACUAGAGAGUUUUUUUUAACCCGGCACUGGGGUGUGUACACACCGCCCGUCACCCUCUUUGAAGCCCCCCCACCCAGUAUUUAACAAACUAAUGCACAGUAGAA